UGGAGAAUUUUGGACAAUGGGCGCAAGCCUGAUCCAGCAAUGCCGCGUGCAGGAUGAAGGCCUUCGGGUUGUAAACUGCUUUUGUACGGAGCGAAAAGGUCUGCCCUAAUACGGUGGGCUCAUGACGGUACCGUAAGAAUAAGCACCGGCUAACUACGUGCCAGCAGCCGCGGUAAUACGUAGGGUGCAAGCGUCAAUCGGAAUUACUGGGCGUAAAGCGUGCGCAGGCGGUUAUGCAAGACAGAGGUGAAAUCCCCGGGCUCAACCUGGGACCUGCAUUUGUGACUGUAUAGCUAGAGUACGGUAGAGGGGGAUGGAAUUCCGCGUGUAGCAGUGAAAUGCGUAGAUAUGCGGAGGAACACCGAUGGCGAAGGCAAUCCCCUGGACCUGUACUGACGCUCAUGCACGAAAGCGUGGGGAGCAAACA
This 427-nucleotide ribosomal RNA is filed under the name uncultured bacterium. Its description in RNAcentral is "bacterial SSU rRNA". It matches the Rfam family "Bacterial small subunit ribosomal RNA", at positions 355 to 774 of the family's 1533-position model. The record is from RNAcentral.